GUAGGUGGCAAGCGUUGUCCGGAAUUAUUGGGCGUAAAGCGCGCGCAGGCGGUUCUUUAAGUCUGAUGUGGAAGCCCACGGCUCAACCGUGGAGGGUCAUUGGAAACUGGAGAACUUGAGUACAGAAGAGGAAAGCGGAAUUCCACGUGUAGCGGUGAAAUGCGUAGAGAUGUGGAGGAACACCAGUGGCGAAGGCGGCUUUCUGGUCUGUAACUGACGCUGAGGCGCGAAAGCGUGGGGAGCAAACAGGGAUUAGAUACCCUGGUAGUCCACGCCGUAAACGAUGAGUGCUAAGUGUUAGGGGGUUUCCCGCCCCUUAGUGCUGCAGCUAACGCAUUAAGCACUCCGCCUGGGGAGUACGGCCGCAAGGCUG
Molecule: ribosomal RNA, 373 nt
Filed under: uncultured organism
Description: partial 16S ribosomal RNA
Rfam family: Bacterial small subunit ribosomal RNA
Source: RNAcentral